UCGAUACUUCAAAGUUGGUUGGGGCGCCGCGGUCGUAUAAACCGUGGUUGCCCCUUCCUCCCCUGAACGGGGAACCCUGUGUCUAUUCGUACCCUCCGUUUCCUCGGCAGGUCCGCCUGCCAGCGAGGACCCCCCAAAACUCUUUUCCUGUAGUGGCAGUACCAGUCUGAAAAACGCAAAUAUCUUA
RNAcentral lists this unclassified non-coding RNA (187 nucleotides) under uncultured Ascomycota. RNAcentral's name for it is "sequence contains ITS1". The record is from RNAcentral. Lineage: Eukaryota; Fungi; Ascomycota.